CAGAUAAUCACUGAAAUAGAAAUUAUGUGUAACUCUAUAAAAUAGAAAUUUGAAGAAAUUGAAGCAAGUUCAAUUUCUUCAAAAUCUACAUUUUGGUAAAAUCUACAUUUAAACUUUUACAUUUUAGUUUUUAUAAUUAUAUGUCACCAAACACUACAUAAAUGCCUUCAAAUCUUUUCCAGAUUUACCUCAGUGUGCUCUACAAAUAUUUUGUGCACUUCAUAAAAGAUAUUUAUGGCUGGGUGCUGUGGCUCAUGCCUGUAAUGUCAGCACUUUGAGAGGCUGAGGUGGGAGGAUCACUUGAAGCCAGGAGUUCAAGACAAGCCUGGGCAACAUAGCAAGACUCUGUCUCUACAAAAUAAAAGUUAAAAAAAGUUACCUAGGCAUGGUGGUGAUAUAUGCCUGUAGUCCCAUCUAUUUUGGAGGCUGAGUCAGGCUGGAGCCCAGGAAUGUGAGGCUCCAGUGAGCCAUGAUCACACGAAACUCCAACCUAGGCAACAGAGCAAGACCCUGUCUCAAAGAAAGGUAUUCAGGUUCCAUAAUAGCAGAUUACAAGAGCCAAAAUAAUAAUCAUCAAUACCAUUUUUACUCCUAGAUCCAUAUGGUUUGUGAAUACAGGUUUUCAUUCUUUACUGCACUCGUCUGUGCUCUGUCCAACUUUCCAUGAUCUUCUUCCGUACCUCCUUCGCAGCUAAAGCAAAAAAAAAAAAAAAAAAAAAAAAAGAGCAUCACAUUUCCUCCUUCCUUCACAUUUCUGGUCUAAUUAUUUUGGAGACAGAGUGAGAAAAUUACACCACAGGCAGGAAUAAUCAGAAAGAACACACUUCAGAGUAUGUAAGUGCUACAUAAACAAAUGCAAAUAAAUGCACAAGUGCCAUGAUGCUUGGGAAAUUUAAGGGAAAAUGCCAUAUUAAUAUGACUCUAAACUUUGAAAUUUCAACAGGUCAAUCAAAUGCAUUUACAUGCAUUUUUGUCAAUGGGAAAAUACCACUUUUCAAGGCAUGGCAAGUAUACGAACUCCGGAAAAUUACUCUCACAGGAUGUCAGAUCACCAAGCCGUGCAGCAAUUGGGAUAAAGACCUAAUACAAAGAAUGCUAUUCUGAGAUCCAAAAGAAAUGAAUCACAGACCCAGUUUGUUUCUUUUCACAUCUUUGUAAUACUGAAUACACCCAAGCCUUCCCAAGUCUUUGGUUACUUGGCGUGUUCAGACUAUGUUGACCACAGUCCUAGAGAGAAAAAACAAGUUUUAUGUUAGUUCCUGACUCCAUUGAAAGAUAUGCCAUUUAAAAUGUCCUAGAAGACCUUUUAAAUAUGACUUUGUAUUUAUUUUAGAAUAAAAUUUAAAAUUAAAAAACAUAUUUUAACAUGAUCUUUAAGUCCUGAAUAGUUGAUCUUCCUGUGUAUUUGUUCAGUCUCAUUUUGUACUUUUCUUCCCAACACUGUGUAAGCUUCAGUGACAUGAGCGCAUCUGAAAAUGUGGAAGCAACUUUAGAACUGGGUAACAGGCAGAGGGGUGAACAGUUCGGAGGGCUCAGAAGAAGACAGGAAAAUGUGGGAAAGUUUGGAACUUCCUAAAGACUUGGAGGGCUCAGAAGACAGGAAGAUGUGGUAAGGUUUGGAGCUUCCUAGAGAUUUGUUGAACGGCUUUGACCAAAAUGCUGACAGUGAUAUGGACAAUGAAGUCCAGGCUGAGGUGGUCACAGAUGGAGAUGAGGAACUUGUUGGCAAGUGGAGUAAAGGUCACUCUUGCUAUGCAAAGAUGGGGAUGAGGCACAGUGGACUCAGCUUCUGCCUGCAAUAAUCUUUGAUUCUAUGAAAAGAGCUCACAUGUGAAGAUGAGCUACUCUCAUAAUGACAUUAUAGCUACAGUUGUAAAAGUAGGUGUAAUUAGUAGGAUGAUGACAGCUGAAGUUCAGAAAGUAUUUGAGUUUGGAGAGAAAAGUAGAGGAUGGUGGAUUGAGCCUGUGUGUCAUUAAUUGGCUCCAUAGGGAGGUACAACCCCCACUGCUGGCUUCCUCACCUCUGUUCUCUGACCUAUUCACUUUGCUGGUGCUGUCAGUGAAGUAGGCUAGAGAGCAGCUGUUCUAAAGAGGAAUGUGGGAGAGACAGCAACUGGUUAUAGAAAGUAAGAAACUAGGAAGAUGGGUAAUUCAUCUAAAGCAAAGUCAAAUUAAAAUUGGUUCUUCCUUUGAUGCUUUGAGCUACAGAGGAAUUUUGAAAAGUUCUUAAGAGGAACUUAAAAAGUAGAUUCAGGGAUAUUUUGUCUGAUGGCAGAAACUUAUAUUCAGUCUAGUAAAAAAAAAAAAGAUGAAAUUGUCUUUUCAGUAUCAUCGCUAGUGGUAACAGUGUCAAAAAUAUUCAUCCCCCUAUGUCAGAGCUAACAGCUGGUCUGAAGAAUUCCUACUCUUAAAAUAUACUAGAUUAAAAGAAUAGCAAAUAUGUUUAUAUAUAUUUUAAACUGAGAAGAAAGGAAAGGAAAGAGAAUAAAAGAAAUAGGAAUCAGAAUAGAAAAAAGAAAAAGAAAUACAAAUAAAGGAAAAUAUAGGAGGAAACCAAUGUAAAGAAAAACUACCCAGGGUUUAGAAGACAACUUGCCUUUGAGGAGUUCAAGUUAUAAAAGAAUUUGAUAAGCAUAUGAAUUCAAGAAAAACUAGAAUCCAAACAUGUGAUUUUUUUUUUAAAGAAUGAGACAGACAGUAAAUUGAGAAUUUAAAAGCACCACUACAGUCCAAAUAGAUCAAUUAUAAAAGCAAGGGUUGGGAUAGCCACUGUCAAAAAUCAAAUUACUGUCUUAGAGAACAGGUAGAAGAUAAUGAUUC
Long non-coding RNA from Callithrix jacchus (white-tufted-ear marmoset), 2820 nucleotides. The record is from Ensembl. Lineage: Eukaryota; Metazoa; Chordata; Mammalia; Primates; Cebidae.